RNAcentral lists this unclassified non-coding RNA (2062 nucleotides) under Hevea brasiliensis (rubber tree). The record is from RNAcentral. Lineage: Eukaryota; Viridiplantae; Streptophyta; Magnoliopsida; Malpighiales; Euphorbiaceae.
GAAAACAAAUAGAUGAAUGGUGGAGAACAGUGACCAAAGGGGACCGCAUGAUUGAUUACAUGAAUAUGGAUGAUAGAUCGAUUGGAAUGUUUUGGGUUGUGUCCUACACUAUGGCACAGCCAGCUUGUGAAACAGUGGUGAACUGGUUGUCCUCUGGUGGAGUUUCUGAGCUUUUACCAGGAGCAAAUAUGCAGUCCAAUGAGAGGUUAAUGGUGAUGAGGGAAGUAAGCCCAUUACCAAUGUCAUUAUUAUCUGGCCUUUCACUGAAUCUAUGUUUGAAGUUGGUCUUCCAACUAGAAGAUUCUUUAUUUGCUGGGCAGGUACUGCAAUUUUUUCUUGCUUAUCUCCAAGUUAAUAUUUGGGAUAGGAUCCUAAAAUCUUAUAGAUGAAAUUUAUGGUUGUUUGCAAUCAGUGUCUUCCAUGAAUGCCUAGAAUAAUGUUAUAAGAAGCUGCUAUGAGGAAGAUGCUGGAUACUGCACACAAGGUUGAGGGAAUAAUAACAUGACAGAUAAGACAGAGAGAGAGAGAGAGGUGAAAGGCACAAGAGGAGAUGUUUGUUAACGGAAGCCUGGCUAGGUGGUGAUUGGGGUGGAAAGGGGAAAGUGGGGAAUGGGAAGCAUUCUCUUUAUGAUAUGUAGAAGAUGCUAUCCACAUCUAUAAUUUUAGUCACAUUGUUUCUUUUCAUUAUCCUAUCCAAAGAAUUUUCCAUUAGAAUAAUAAAAUUUGCUUAAACUAUUAGUUUUCUUUUCAAAAAUGAAAAAAAAUAGGAAAAAAAAGUAGAAAUGAGAAAUAAUAAAUCACGAAAUAUGGUUUUUCAAAUUGCUUCAAAUGUUUUUCAUUAGGUCCUCUACCACCACAUCGGAGUUACUGGCUAACCCUGCACUGCUACCUGUCCGCCACCAUUGAUUGUUAUCAUCAUUUUAUUGCCAUUAUUAGUCACCAAAAUCCAUCAAUAGCAGAAUCAACACCACCGCUAUGAAGACCUACUACAUCUACCAUCAUGACCAAAAUGCCUCAACACCAUUAAAUAUUUCAUUUCCACUACUAUUCACACCACAGUCAUCAUACCACUAACUUCUCCGAUCAAUUCUACAAUUACUUCGCACUACCGUCAUUGCCUUGAUGGUUUUAUUUAGUUUUAUAUAAUUUAAAAUGACCGAAGAGUUUUUAGAAAAUAAAACAGAAAACUAUAAGCUGUUUUGGUUUUCUAAUUUACAAAAAGAAAGGGUUGUAAUGGUCCCAAAGGAGACAUAUUCAUUCCCUUCUACGCUUUUGUAGUAUAAAUAUUGAAGCAUGCAAUGCUCAUUUCGAAAAAUACUAUCUAAAAGAAAGUGCAUAUUAUGCUAUAUAAUAAAUUUCCAUUUGCUCAGGAUCAUGAAAUGAAUAUGAUGAAGACAUUAAACAGGAAAAAGCAUCAACAAUGCUUAAAAAAAUUUUAGCAAGGGGAAUUAUUCAUGAUUUAUGAUGAACUGAAAACUUGUGGUUAGCUGCUUAUGCCUUGGGAAACAAGUUGAUGACAGAAGGAUGAAAAAAAUGAAUGUGUUAUGAGGAUAGCAUAGAAUUAACUGAUUUCUAAAACAUUGUAGGAAGCGUUUUAAAGCUUAUGGUCUCUCCCUGACCUUUAUUAUCAUCAAAUGAUAUGUUCUGAGUGGAUAUGUACAAUUUAUGAUGAGACAAAGGAAUUAUUUGUGCUUUAAUUGUUACUUCCAGGAUUUUAUGACUUCUUACUGUAUGUUAGGGCAUGGGCUGUCAAUUCUUCAGAAUAGAAGUGAUUAUACCCAGUUAUUGAUUUCACAACUUAUUAGUUUCUGUGAUAAAGAACAAGCAACAUGCAUUAGAAAAUGCAUCUAUUCAGCACUCUGAAAGUUCGUGUCUAAUAUACUUUCUAUAUGAAGUAGAGACUAUAUAUCAUGAACCCAAGGCUAUUUUUCUUUUUUCCUUCCUGUGAUUUAGUCUAAUAAAAAAUUUUCAGUUGCUAGGAUCGAAUAGUUUCUAGUGUUGAUACUAGUUCAUCAGAUGUCUACUAGUUUGACAAUUGCUUUUGAUAUGAUUCUAAUGUUUG